Molecule: ribosomal RNA, 876 nt
Filed under: uncultured crenarchaeote
Lineage: Archaea; Thermoproteati; Thermoproteota
Description: bacterial SSU rRNA
Rfam family: Archaeal small subunit ribosomal RNA
Source: RNAcentral
ACCUGACUGCUAUCGGAUUGAUACUAAGCCAUGCGAGUCAUUGUAGCAAUACAAGGCAUACGGCUCAGUAACGCGUAGUCAACCUAACCUAUGGACGGGAAUAACCUCGGGAAACUGAGAAUAAUGCCCGAUAGAACACUAUACCUGGAAUGGUUUGUGUUCCAAAUGAUUUAUCGCCAUAGGAUGGGACUGCGGCCUAUCAGUUUGUUGGUGAGGUAAUGGCCCACCAAGACUAUUACAGGUACGGGCUCUGAGAGGAGUAGCCCGGAGAUGGGUACUGAGACACGGACCCAGGCCCUAUGGGGCGCAGCAGGCGAGAAAACUUUGCAAUGUGCGAAAGCACGACAAGGUUAAUCCGAGUGAUUUGUGCUAAACGAAUCUUUUGUUAGUCCUAGAAACACUAACGAAUAAGGGGUGGGCAAGUUCUGGUGUCAGCCGCCGCGGUAAAACCAGCACCUCAAGUGGUCAGGAUGAUUAUUGGGCCUAAAGCAUCCGUAGCCGGCUCUGUAAGUUUUCGGUUAAAUCUGUACGCUUAACGUACAGGCUGCCGGGAAUACUGCAGAGCUAGGGAGUGGGAGAGGUAGACGGUACUCGGUAGGAAGUGGUAAAAUGCUUUGAUCUAUCGAUGACCACCUGUGGCGAAGGCGGUCUACCAGAACACGUCCGACGGUGAGGGAUGAAAGCCGGGGGAGCAAACCGGAUUAGAUACCCGGGUAGUCCCAGCUGUAAACUAUGCAAACUCAGUGAUGCAUUGGCUUGUGGCCAAUGCAGUGCUGCAGGGAAGCCGUUAAGUUUGCCGCCUGGGAAGUACGUACGCAAGUAUGAAACUUAAAGGAAUUGGCGGGGGAGCACCACAAGGGGUGAAGCCUGCGGUUC